UACAGAGGUCUCAAGCGUUGUUCGGAUUCAUUGGGCGUAAAGGGUGUGUAGGUGGCGCCGUAAGUCGGGUGUGAAAUUUCGGAGCUUAACUCCGAAACUGCAUUCGAUACUCCGGUGCUUGAGGACUGGAGAGGAGACUGGAAUUCAUGGUGUAGCAGUGAAAUGCGUAGAGAUCAUGAGGAAGACCAGUGGCGAAGGCGGGUCUCUGGACAGUUCCUGACACUGAGACACGAAGGCCAGGGGAGCAAACGGG
RNAcentral lists this ribosomal RNA (253 nucleotides) under uncultured bacterium. Its description in RNAcentral is "partial 16S ribosomal RNA". It matches the Rfam family "Bacterial small subunit ribosomal RNA", at positions 524 to 776 of the family's 1533-position model. The record is from RNAcentral.